AGAGUUUGAUCCUGGCUCAGGACGAACGCUGGCGGCGCGCCUAACACAUGCAAGUCGAACGAGCGAGAGAGAGCUUGCUUUCUUGAGCGAGUGGCGAACGGGUGAGUAACGCGUGAGGAACCUGCCUCAAAGAGGGGGACAACAGUUGGAAACGACUGCUAAUACCGCAUAAGCCCACGGUGCCGCAUGGCACAGAGGGAAAAGGAGCAAUCCGCUUUGAGAUGGCCUCGCGUCCGAUAGCUAGUAGGUGAGGUAAUGGCCCACCAAGGCGACGAUCGGUAGCCGGACUGAGAGGUUGAACGGCCACAUUGGGACUGAGACACGGCCCAGACUCCUACGGGAGGCAGCAGUGGGGAAUAUUGCACAAUGGGGGAAACCCUGAUGCAGCGACGCCGCGUGGAGGAAGAAGGUCUUCGGAUUGUAAACUCCUGUUGUUGAGGAAGAUAAUGACGGUACUCAACAAGGAAGUGACGGCUAACUACGUGCCAGCAGCCGCGGUAAAACGUAGGUCACAAGCGUUGUCCGGAAUUACUGGGUGUAAAGGGAGCGCAGGCGGGAAGACAAGUUGGAAGUGAAAUCCAUGGGCUCAACCCAUGAACUGCUUUCAAAACUGUUUUUCUUGAGUAGUGCAGAGGUAGGCGGAAUUCCCGGUGUAGCGGUGGAAUGCGUAGAUAUCGGGAGGAACACCAGUGGCGAGGGCGGCCUACUGGGCACCAACUGACGCUGAGGCUCGAAAGUGUGGGUAGCAAACAGGAUUAGAUACCCUGGUAGUCCACACUGUAAACGAUGAUUACUAGGUGUUGGAGGAUUGACCCCUUCAGUGCGGCAGUUAACACAAUAAGUAAUCCACCUGGGGAGUACGACCCCAAGGUUGAAACUCAAAGGAAUUGACGGGGGCCCGCACAAGCAGUGGAGUAUGUGGUUUAAUUCGACGCAACGCGGAGAACCUUACCAAGUCUUGACAUCCAUCGACGACUAUAGAAAUAUAGUUUUCCUUCGGGACGGUGAGACAGGUGGUGCAUGGUUGUCGUCAGCUCGUGUCGUGAGAUGUUGGGUUAAGUCCCGCAACGAGCGCAACCCUUAUGGUCAGUUACUACGCAAGAGGACUCUGGCCAUACUGCCGUUGACAAAACGGAGGAAGGUGGGGAUGACGUCAAAUCAUCAUGCCCUUUAUGACUUGGGCUACACACGUACUACAAUGGCGUU
RNAcentral lists this ribosomal RNA (1206 nucleotides) under metagenome. Its description in RNAcentral is "bacterial SSU rRNA". It matches the Rfam family "Bacterial small subunit ribosomal RNA", at positions 8 to 1237 of the family's 1533-position model. The record is from RNAcentral.